CCCCCUCAGCCACCUCAUCCAUCUCCCAUUCCUCCGACCCAGCUCACGCAAACCCUAAAUCAAAAUUUUGGUUGAUUUAGGGUUUAUGCCUCAUCUUCCUUGUCUCUCUCUCACCUCGUUGGCUGUCUCAAUGAGCAGCCCGAUUCCAACUUAGGGUUUCCUCCAAAUUGAUUUAUACCAAUUCCACCAUCGUCACAAAGAGGCUCUCUAAGUCUCAGUCAGUAAACUCAUCUUCUCCUCCAACGCUGCCAACUCCAAUCUUUGCUUUCUCUCUUCGUCUUCAGUACUCGUUUCCGGUAGUUUUGGAGUGAAACGGCAUGGGUUCGCCUUGAAACCGACAACGAAGACGGUGAAUCUCUCGGUUAAGAUUCGUUAGACAGAUUACUUGAGAAACAGAGGUUCGGUGACUCUUCUUCUUCUUAGCCUUCAUACUCCUCGCAGAACGCUAAAGGAUCCCCUGCUAGAUUUUAUGUGGGUAAUUCGAUAUACAAAGGGAAAGCUGCGUUAAUAGUAGAUCUAAGAGCACCAGAGUUUGUGGCUUUAGACUCUGGAGCUUUCAAUUUGUCAAAAGAUGGUUUUCUACUGCUCCAGUUUGCUCCUUCAGCUGGUGUACGACAAUACGAUUGGACUAAGAAACAGGUAUUUUAAGGUGUUGCAUUGCUGCAUUGUUUCAUUUUAAAUGAAAACAUGUACUUUGGAGCCUAAAAAGAGCAAAAAGAAGGAUUCACAAGUUGCAGCUAUCAAAAGGAAGGAUCUAGUGUCAUUUAUGGGGUUUAAAUAAGAGGAUUUGAAGCAUCAAGAAGGAAAAGGGAGGCACCCGACCAUGCCAAAGAGCACCCGGUCGAGUUCAUGAAGAGACCCUCAAAGAUCGACUCGAAUGAAGCUUUUCCUUUGGGAUUCAGCUUCUGAGUUCUUUAUUAAAGUUAUAGGAAAUCGAGUAAGCUUUCCAAUGGUGGUGAUUUCAGGCCAAUCAGAGAUGCGGUUCAAGAGUUAUUUCUAUUUUAGUGAACGUAAAUACAUCAAGAUCAAAGAAUGGAACCACCCGAACGCCUAGCCGAUCAUGCACCCGAAGUGGAGCUUGAGCACCUGCUCGUGUAGACCUUCGGGUACCUUCUGACAUGGCUAGGUCAAGUGGUUUCCAUAUAUAAAGCCCCUCUUAACCACAUUUUUGACACAGAGGAGGCGAGAGCCGUUUUUACACUUCUCUUUGAGUAGAUUUUCCAUUUUUAUUAUUCUUUCAACUUGGAUUCUGUUUACAUUUUGCUAUUGCUUCGUUCUAAUUAAACAUUUAUCUCUUUUUCAUCUU
This is a long non-coding RNA of Camelina sativa (false flax), 1306 nucleotides long. RefSeq lists it as uncharacterized. The record is from RefSeq and is a predicted model, not a curated record. NCBI's taxonomy places the organism in Eukaryota, Viridiplantae, Streptophyta, Magnoliopsida, Brassicales, Brassicaceae.